Pelobates cultripes (western spadefoot toad) is the source of this 392-nucleotide non-coding RNA. The record is from the annotation of a GenBank genome assembly. NCBI's taxonomy places the organism in Eukaryota, Metazoa, Chordata, Amphibia, Anura, Pelobatidae.
GCCGCAGACUGGUCACAGUGCCCAUGAUGACCUCUGCCCACCGAUGAAAGUGCCUUCAAUAGAGAUAUGAGUGUCAAAACUGAACCAUGGAAAAAUAGUUUGCCUGGUUUAAUAAAUCAUGUUUUCUUUUAGAUCAGGUGGAUGGCCGGGUGCGUGUGAUUGAGAUGGCAGCAGGAUGCACUAUGCAGGCCGGCAGAGACACUGUUAUGCUUUGGGCAAUGUACUGCUGGGAAACCUUGAGACCUGGCAUUCAUGUGCAUGUUACUUUAAAUUAUUUCACCCACCUAGAGAUUGUUGCAGGCCAUGUACACUCCUUCAUGGCAAUGGUGUUCCCUGAUGUCAGUUUCCUUUUUAAGCAGAAUAGGCAUGCUACCACAUUGCAAAAGUUGUUC